CUACGGGAGGCAGCAGUGAGGAAUAUUGGGCAAUGGGCGAGAGCCUGACCCAGCAACGCCGCGUGGAGGAAGACGGCCUUCGGGUUGUAAACUCCUUUUGACGGGGAAGAGAGAGGACGGUACCCGUCGAAUAAGUCACGGCUAACUACGUGCCAGCAGCCGCGGUAAUACGUAGGUGACAAGCGUUAUCCGGAAUUACUGGGCGUAAAGCGCACGCAGGCGGCAGAUUAAGUCUGACGUGAAAUCUCCUGGCUUAACUGGGAGGGGUCGUUGGAAACUGGUCAGCUUGAGGUGGUGAGAGGGGUGUAGAAUUCCCGGUGUAGUGGUGGAAUGCGUAGAUAUCGGGAGGAAUACCAGUGGCGAAAGCGACACCCUGGCACUAGCCUGACGCUCAUGUGCGAAAGCGUGGGGAGCAAACGGGAUUAGAAACCCGAGUAGUCC
Molecule: ribosomal RNA, 441 nt
Filed under: uncultured bacterium
Lineage: Bacteria
Description: bacterial SSU rRNA
Rfam family: Bacterial small subunit ribosomal RNA
Source: RNAcentral